UCAAACUUGGUCAUUUAGAGGAAGUAAAAGUCGUAACAAGGUUUCCGUAGGUGAACCUGCGGAAGGAUCAUUAUCGAGUUUUGAAACGGGUUGUAGCUGGCCUCAUACGGGGCAUGUGCACACCUGGCUCAUCCACUACUCAACCCCUGUGCACUUAUUGUAGGUCGGUGAAAGGUUCUUUCUGUCGGGUUCUUAAUUGAACUUGAAGAAAAAGCUGGAAGCCUUCCUACGUUUAUACCACAAACGCUUCAGUUAUAGAAUGUAAUCUCUGCGUAUAACGCAUUUAUAUACAACUUUCAGCAACGGAUCUCUUGGCUCUCGCAUCGAUGAAGAACGCAGC
RNAcentral lists this unclassified non-coding RNA (340 nucleotides) under uncultured fungus. RNAcentral's name for it is "partial contains small subunit ribosomal RNA, internal transcribed spacer 1, and 5.8S ribosomal RNA". The stretch from base 1 to 73 matches the Rfam family "Eukaryotic small subunit ribosomal RNA", at positions 1759 to 1831 of the family's 1831-position model. The record is from RNAcentral. Lineage: Eukaryota; Fungi.